AUGGCGCAGUUCACGUGGAAGUCCAAAACUCCUCUGAGAUGCCGAUUCUUUACUUGGCUCGUAUUUCAUAACAGAUGCUGGACCUCGGAUAGACUGGCGAGCCGAGGAUUGGACCAUCAGGAAGCAUGCCCUUUCUGUGACCAAGUGGAGGAAAGUAUCAAUCACAUAAUGCUACAGUGUGCCUUGGCGAGGGAAGUGUGGCUGCGUGUCUGUACAGCUUGGGGAAAGCCAGAAUGGGUUCCGACAACAACAUCACUACUAGGGGAGUGGUGCACGGCCACCGCGGAAUGCGCCUGGGAAAAAGGAUGCACGGGCACUAAUCAUACUUGUAAUGUGGGAGCUAUGGAAGUAUCGGAAUGGCAUCGUGUAUGA
This 372-nucleotide ribosomal RNA is filed under the name Triticum aestivum (bread wheat). Its description in RNAcentral is "partial small subunit ribosomal RNA". The record is from RNAcentral. Lineage: Eukaryota; Viridiplantae; Streptophyta; Magnoliopsida; Poales; Poaceae.